This is a non-coding RNA of Styela clava, 3005 nucleotides long. The record is from RefSeq and is a predicted model, not a curated record. Lineage: Eukaryota; Metazoa; Chordata; Ascidiacea; Stolidobranchia; Styelidae.
AUUGAUGGCUGUAUGUACAUUAAAUGGAUAUAAACUUGGGGAUAGAGUAUUACAGGUAUCUUUCAAGACUAAUCGACCAAAUGUAAAAUUUACACAUUGAGAGUAAGUAAAUGGAAAGUCAAACAUGAAGCGCUGAUGAUAUAUUUCUUUCAAGUUCCAAUUUUGUUUCUUUAAUAACCCGUACAUAAUGUAAAGUAAAUGUUGCGAAAUGCAUUAGUAUUUAUGUAGGUAUCAUAUUCCCAAAGGCUUUGUGUCGUUAUAUUUCUGUUAGACCUUUUAUUACGGGAAAUAUUGCAUCAUUUGGGUUAACAUAUUUUGAAAAAUGGUGGGUUAUUUUGCCGUGGUGGGUGUUUAUUUUUACCAAAUGUACUGUCCAUAAUUAAAGAAAAAAUGGUGUAAAGGUUAUUGCUAAAGCCCUGUUACAAUUUCAAAAUUACCUGCUUACAAUAAACUUGUUAGUAAGUCUUUAUGAAAACCCUGUAUAUCCAUUUUUAUUUCAUUUGAAAUGUGCGUCCCUCUUGUUUUUGGGAAAUUAGAAAAUUUAAAAAAGGUUUUAUGGAGUCUAAAUUAAAUCAUUUCAAAUACUAAUAUAGUAAAUAAAUAAAAUAUGUCCAUGUUCAAGUACAGACCACCAGGUUACAAUUCUUUGGCGGUUUCCUUUGGUGGUGGGUGUGUGUUGAAAAUAGUCUAAUUUUUUUGUGUAAUGAUUCAAUCAGUUACGAGCUUUGUUUCCUAGCGCACUAGAAACCUGGUAAAUCAAACUAAGGAAAGCCAUUCAAUGAAAUAUUGUUGCGUAAAGAUCUACUCAAGAUAUUUAUAUUUUGGGUACUCAAGAAUUUCUUAGUAAGAACAGAUCUGUUGGGGCAGCAAUAUUGUUAUGUAUGGCAAAAGACCAUUUGCAAAUAUUUUAGUCCCCAAGUUCACAAAUAACUUAUAUCAAUAUUUCGUUAGCUAUUGUAUUGUUCUCUGUCAGUCUAUGAUUCUGAUAUUAAUGUAUUCUUUUCUGAUGAAGCAAAUAUUUAUGUUUGGAUAUAUUGUGCAUGAUUUUGUUUUAUGUGAAGCAGAUUUAUUGGGAUAUUGAAUACCAACUGUCUCAUUGUGCGACAGAUUGCCAAAUUUUUUGUGACGUCACACUCAAUAAUUGAUUUCUUAUUAAUUAUUAAAGACACAUGAAUGUGGGUUUCUGCUUUUUAGCUCAAUUUUUACGUCCGAAACUUCUUAGCCAAGAUUCACUUUCGUAUCCUUUUACUAGACCUUGGUCCUAAAUUGUAUCCAGCCAAGCAUAAGUCGUUGAAGGGUAGCCUUUCAAAGGUGUGCUUCAACUAUGCCUGUAUACUGGCAAUUUGUGUGGCCUUGGCAUUGGUAGAUUUUAAAAGGAGAUUUGCGUAUUCUACAACUGCAUUUCAAACAUUUCCUACACCAUUUUACUAGACUUACAGUUUUAAUUAUUUUGCAUUAUUGAUUCUAUCGCUCAUGAAGAGAUUAAACGUAGUCCAUGGUAGGUAUGCCUACAGAAAUUAUAAUUACAUUGCUACAAGCAUUCUUUUUGUUGUAUGUAUGUUCUAUUGUAUAAAUUUUAGUUUAUUUACUAUUCAUUGUGUUUCGCUUCUUUUUGUCUUUAGUUUUGUUCUAUGUGACGGAUGUUUGUACAUGCAAUAAUCGAAUUCGGGUCAUUUAAUCAGUGUCAGAUAACUACUUCAUUCUCCAUCUAAAACCAUUUUUCAUUUGUGAACAUGUAAGCAGAUGUAAUUAUUUGUAGUGUGUUACUAAAUCACACCUACGCACUGUGGAUAUUUCCUCUUGUAUACACAAACUCUUUUCCUGCCUAGCAUAUGCCAUGACAUGAUAUUUACAACAGCAAUAGAUAUUAGAUACACACUACGCAAUAUUACCAAUUCCAAAUCUUAGUGCAAUAUGACUGCAGUCUUACAUACCCAAUACUCCAAUCUUGCCACUUUUUUGUUAUGGGACUUGCAAUUAUUUAUUUCAUCUUUUUUUUUCUGAUUUCGGUUUUGGCAUAUCUCGGUCACAUUCUGUGGCUUAUUGAGGAUACACAAUUUUUUGGAGAAUUAUUUUUUGAUGGCCCACAGAUUGGCCAUGUCUCAGUGUUACGAUCCUUCAUUGUGUCUCAUGCAUGUCCAAGUGUGAGUGACAUACACAAUUAUCUAAAAUGAAUACUAAAUGCCUUUGCAUAUUCGUUACUCAACACGCUCCUCUUAUAUAAAAAUGUAAUUUCCUGUUUGUCUUCAAACUUUUCGAUGCUGCAAACGAUUGAUUAAUAUGUUCCUUUAUUACUGUGAUGAAAUUUUCAGGGAUUAGGCGUUGCUGUGUCCAUCAAUUGAGACUAAGCUUUUAUUGUAAUUUGAGUGAACUCUGAUAAUCUUGUCCAUGAAUUUAGUUUGUUUGGAAUUCAAUUUGAUUUACGAACUUAUGGUGUAUGUUGGAUUUUACAUAUUAAAAUUGGCAUAUUAUUUUAUCAACAUGGAAUUAUAUUAUUCAAUGAUAUACCCUUGUUUACAUGUUUAAUAUUUUUUUCCCCAUUAUGUGAUGAACUCUAUAAAAUACCAAGACUUGGGAUACUAUCGAACCCCAAACAUUGCAUUGAAGACAGCAACACCUAUGCCUUGAAAUUAAAAAAUACUGCCUACAAAUGCCAUUGUGACCAAAUUACUUCAAUAUUCAGUUAUGGAUGCCUGAUUUUUUGUUUUAAAUUUUUGUUUCUCUUCAAGUCCUCGAUAUUAGACUGUGCUAGGAAAGACUGCUUGUUUAUACUUCCGAAUAUUGCAUUAUUAUCAUCUAGCCUUAUUUACUUUGAACUUACUGCCGGCGAUCUUUUUGAUUUCUUCAUCAAAGCGUCAAAACGUUCCAAUAUCUGUUAUUUUCUAUUAAUAUUAUUGUUAUUUUCUUGUUUUGUUGUUAUACCCAUUUCUUUAUUCUCGUUUGCUACGACCUGUGUUAAUCAUUAUUAAACGGUUUCUUUGUACCCAGAGUCAAUCACAACCGGG